GAUGAAGAACGCAGUGAAAUGCGAUACUUGGUGUGAAUUGCAGAAUCCCGUGAACCAUCGAGUCUUUGAACGCAAGUUGCGCCCGAAGCCAUUAGGCCGAGGGCACGCCUGCCUGGGCGUCACACGUCGUUGCCCCCCCAUCUACUCCUUCGGGAUUGCGGGGGGCGGAUGAUGGCCUCUCGUGCGCCUCGUCGCGCGGUUGGCCUAAAUGCCAAGUCCUCGGCGACGCACGCCACGACAAUCGGUGGUUGCGAAACCUCGGUUGCCUGUCGUGUGCGGUCAUCGCGCAUCGAGGGCUCGAAAAAAUUGCCGGGCUUCGGCUCGACUUUCAACGCGACCCCAGGUCAGGCGGGGUUACCCGCUGAAUUUAAGCAUAUCAAUAAGCGGAGGA
RNAcentral lists this unclassified non-coding RNA (391 nucleotides) under soil metagenome. Its description in RNAcentral is "partial contains 5.8S ribosomal RNA, internal transcribed spacer 2, and large subunit ribosomal RNA". The stretch from base 1 to 122 matches the Rfam family "5.8S ribosomal RNA", at positions 35 to 154 of the family's 154-position model. The record is from RNAcentral.